AUCUAAAUUGUUACAAAUGGGACAGUAUAUGUGCCAUUCCAGAUACCUAAUCACAGCUCAAUCGAUGCUGGUGUCUUUUUCCUUUUUCCUUCUGCAGAAAACAUGCUUUACAUAGGAUCUCUGAACUUAAAGAAUGGGAAGAAGAAAAAUCAUGUUUCCAGCUUGGGCUGCUGUUUCAUCUGUUGGACUUGCUUAAAGCGUAUGGGUUUGUUUACCCUUCCUGCAGGCAUCCAACCUGGCCUUUUAUUCCUGCUCAAGUAGGACAUGCAGCCUGCUGGGGACCCGUGGCUCAAAUCCUCCAACUGCAGGACUGCCGGCCCUGGGACUCAUGAAUAAUGGAAGUGCAGUAACCACUCCUUACAGCCCAGACGACUUUCCAGGAGCAGGCUGUACCCCGAAAGUAAACAAGGAACAAGGGGCAAGGAGACAGAGAGAGAUGGGGAAAUAUCCUCACCAACAGCCCUGCUGCAGUGAAAACUGGAGGAUCCCUGAAUGGAAAGGAAUGCUAUGCACACUUUUUGGAUACAGGAAGUGAGAUUCAGAGGGGUUAAACAGCUUUCCUAAAGCCACACAGCGAGAGAGUCGAUCUGAACUGAAGAUUGUUUGACAUCAAAGCUCAUUUCUUUCCCUAAAUGUCAGCAUUCUUUCCUGACUUAUUAAUUUGAUUUCUGUCCUCCCCUCAUGGAAGUUAAUUAAAGGAAUGCGAGAACCUUUUAGAAAAUCU
Molecule: long non-coding RNA, 724 nt
Filed under: Homo sapiens (human)
Lineage: Eukaryota; Metazoa; Chordata; Mammalia; Primates; Hominidae
Description: HSALNT0385937
Source: RNAcentral